RNAcentral lists this ribosomal RNA (486 nucleotides) under uncultured bacterium. RNAcentral's name for it is "partial 16S ribosomal RNA". It matches the Rfam family "Bacterial small subunit ribosomal RNA", at positions 30 to 507 of the family's 1533-position model. The record is from RNAcentral.
AUUGAACGCUGGCGGCAUGCCUUACACAUGCAAGUCGAACGGCAGCACGGGUGCUUGCACCUGGUGGCGAGUGGGGAACGGGUGAGUAAUACAUCGGAACAUGUCCUGUAGUGGGGGAUAGCCCGGCGAAAGCCGGAUUAAUACCGCAUACGAUCUACGGAUGAAAGCGGGGGACCUUCGGGCCUCGCGCUAUAGGGUUGGCCGAUGGCUGAUUAGCUAGUUGGUGGGGUAAGGGCCUACGAAGGCGACGAUCAGUAGCUGGUCUGAGAGGACGACCAGCCACACUGGGACUGAGACACGGCCCAGACUCCUACGGGAGGCAGCAGUGGGGAAUUUUGGACAAUGGGCGAAAGCCUGAUCCAGCAAUGCCGCGUGUGUGAAGAAGGCCUUCGGGUUGUAAAGCACUUUUGUCCGGAAAGAAAUCCUUGGCCCUAAUACGGUCGGGGGAUGACGGUACCGGAAGAAUAAGCACCGGCUAACUACGUG